GAUUUGUCCCUGGAGCCCGGGAUUUGUCCCUCACGCCCUGAGGGAGCUGCUCCAGCCCCGAGACCGGGAUUUGUCCCUCGGUGCUCUGAGGGAACUGCACCGAGCCCUGGGCCCGGGAUUUGUCCCUCAAGCCCAGGAUUUGUCCCUUUAGCCCGGCAUUUGUCCCUGGAGCCCGGGAUUUGUCCCUCAUGCCCUGAGGGAACCGCACCGAGCCCCGGGCCCGGAAUUUGUCCCUCGAGCCCGGGAUUUGUCCCUCAUGCCCUGAGGGAGCUGCUCCAGCCCCGAGACCGGGAUUUGUCCCUCUAGCCCGGGAUUUGUCCCUCGGUGCUGAGGGAGCUGCACCGAGGCCCGAGCCCGGGAUUUGUCCCUCGGUGCUCUGAGGGAGCUGCACCGAGGCCCGAGCCCAGAAUUUGUCCCUGGAGCCCGAGAUUUGUCCCUCAUGCCCUGAGGGAACCGCACCGAGCCCCGGGCCCGGGAUUUGUCCCUCAAGCCCGGGAUUUGUCCCUUUAGCCCAGGAUUUGUUCCUCAUGCCCUGAGGGAGCUGCUCCAGCCCCGAGCCCGGGAUUUGUCCCUCGAGCCCGGGAUUUGUCCCUCAUGCCCUGAGGGAACCGCACCGAGCCCUGGGCCCGGGAUUUGUUCCUCACGCCCUGAGGGAGCUGCACCGAGGCCCGAGCCCGGGAUUUGUCCCUCUAGCCCAGAAUUUGUCCCUGGAGCUCAGAAUUUGUCCCUUUAGCCCAGAAUUUGCCCCUUUAGCCCAGAAUUUGUCCCUUUAUCCCAGAAUUCGUCCCUUUAUCCCAGGAUUUGUCCCUGGAGCCCGGGAUUUGUCCCGCCGAGCUCCCCCCGUGCCUGGGGCCCAGCACAUCCUGUUUACAGCCCGAGCCCGCCGCUCCUUCCCCAAGCAUCCGAGCUCGGCGAUUGUUGUCCUUUGCAAUAUGGUAAUUUUAUGGGAUAUUUUUACCCAGCUCCAGCACAUAUUUUUCCAACCCACAGCAGAACUUUCGACAACAAUGCAACUCGGGAAAGCUGGAAAUAUGGGACAAUCGUCCCUAAACACCCAGCUAGCCUUCAACACGUCUUGGCAUUUGGGACGGCAGCUCCGCUCCAAACAUAUGGCAGCGAAAGCUUUUGAAUUUUUUUUCUAUGAUUUUAUUCCGGUCUGGAGUCACUUCCACCCCGAAAUAAAGCAAUUUUAAUUCAGGCCAGAUGUGUAAAAUUGGGAUUUAUUUAUAUGGGUGGAAGGUGUCCCCUAACUUUGGAACGGGAUUUUCCAUCCAAACCAGCCCAAAACCCUACAGUAAUAAUUUUCUUACAAAUCCCAUCAUUUAUUCGAGGUUUGUUUUUAAAAUCCAAACUCUAAUACGUUUGUGGAUGUUGUGGUUUCGUUAUUAAAAUAUAAAUGAUAUCCAAAUCCAUUUGUAUAUGCAAAUACAAAAAACAUAUAUUGAUAUCAUCAUAAUAAUAUUCU
This 1465-nucleotide long non-coding RNA is filed under the name Zonotrichia albicollis (white-throated sparrow). RNAcentral describes it as "lncRNA (ENSZALG00000008821.1)". The record is from RNAcentral. Lineage: Eukaryota; Metazoa; Chordata; Aves; Passeriformes; Passerellidae.